Molecule: transfer RNA, 68 nt
Filed under: Traulia lofaoshana
Lineage: Eukaryota; Metazoa; Arthropoda; Insecta; Orthoptera; Acrididae
Description: tRNA-Arg
Source: RNAcentral
GAAUAAGAAGCGAAAUAUUGCAAUCAGUUUCGACCUGAAAAUUGGUAUAAUUUACCCUUAUUCAAUUA